This 552-nucleotide ribosomal RNA is filed under the name Alpaida carminea. Its description in RNAcentral is "partial large subunit ribosomal RNA". It matches the Rfam family "Eukaryotic large subunit ribosomal RNA", at positions 602 to 855 of the family's 3401-position model. The record is from RNAcentral. Lineage: Eukaryota; Metazoa; Arthropoda; Arachnida; Araneae; Araneidae.
AAGGACCCCGCAACCGGUUCGGAAACGGCCUUAAGGGUCGGUAAUGGCAGUUGGCCGGUGGCUCGCCUCGUGCGGGUCGUCGGUUGUUAGCCGUCCGAUCUUGGCUCGUGGCCGGACCGUGGUGUCGCGAGGCCCGUUUGGGCUUCUUCGCCUCCUCCGUUCGCGGACGCCGGGAUCCCGGGGCAGGGGUUCGCACUUCUGCGGGCGCACGGACCGACUCCGUGGCCCAGCGGUCGCAUGCGUCCUCGUUGGCCUCGGUGAACCCGUCGGAGGUUGGCGGUUGGCGGGGAGUAGAUCGGUCACCCACCCGACCCGUCUUGAAACACGGACCAAGGAGUCUAACAUGUGUGCGAGUCAAUGGGUCUCGAAUAAGCCCAGAGGCGCAAUGAAAGCAAAGGCAGGACUCGACGCCUGCCGAGUUGGGAUCCUCCUUCCUUCGCGUCGGAGGCGCACCAACGACCCGUCCUGUCCCAUUUAUGGGUUGGGCGGAGUUUGAGCAUACACGUUGGGACCCGAAAGAUGGUGAACUAUGCCCGGGCAGGACGAGGCCAG